This 467-nucleotide ribosomal RNA is filed under the name uncultured Alphaproteobacteria bacterium. Its description in RNAcentral is "bacterial SSU rRNA". It matches the Rfam family "Bacterial small subunit ribosomal RNA", at positions 9 to 521 of the family's 1533-position model. Lineage: Bacteria; Pseudomonadati; Pseudomonadota; Alphaproteobacteria. The record is from RNAcentral.
GAGUUUGAUCAUGGCUCAGAACGAACGCUGGCGGCAUGCCUAACACAUGCAAGUCGAACGAAUCCCUUCGGGGAUAGUGGCGCACGGGUGCGUAACGCGUGGGAAUCUGCCCUUGGGUUCGGAAUAACAGUGAGAAAUUGCUGCUAAUACCGGAUGAUGUCUUCGGACCAAAGAUUUAUUGCCCAGGGAUGAGCCCGCGUAGGAUUAGCUAGUUGGUGGGGUAAUGGCCUACCAAGGCGACGAUCCUUAGCUGGUCUGAGAGGAUGAUCAGCCACACUGGGACUGAGACACGGCCCAGACUCCUACGGGAGGCAGCAGUGGGGAAUAUUGGACAAUGGGCGAAAGCCUGAUCCAGCAAUGCCGCGUGAGUGAUGAAGGCCUUAGGGUUGUAAAGCUCUUUUACCCGGGAUGAUAAUGACAGUACCGGGAGAAUAAGCUCCGGCUAACUCCGUGCCAGCCGCCGCAGU